This 253-nucleotide ribosomal RNA is filed under the name uncultured bacterium. RNAcentral's name for it is "partial 16S ribosomal RNA". It matches the Rfam family "Bacterial small subunit ribosomal RNA", at positions 524 to 776 of the family's 1533-position model. The record is from RNAcentral.
UACGGAGGGGGCGAGCGUUGUCCGGAAUCACUGGGCGUAAAGCGCACGUAGGCGGAUCGCUAAGUCAGGGGUGAAAUCCUGGAGCUCAACUCCAGAACUGCCUUUGAUACUGGCAAUCUCGAGUCCGGGAGAGGUGAGUGGAACUGCGAGUGUAGAGGUGAAAUUCGUAGAUAUUCGCAAGAACACCAGUGGCGAAGGCGGCUCACUGGCCCGGUACUGACGCUGAGGUGCGAAAGCGUGGGGAGCAAACAGG